GGAAAACUCACCAGGUCCAGACAUAGUAAGGAUUAACAGAUUGAUAGCUCUUUCUUGAUUCUAUGGGUGGUGGUGCAUGGCCGUUCUUAGUUGGUGGUGUGAAUUGUCUGCUUAAUUGCGUUAACGAACGAGACCUUGACCUACUAAAUAGUCACAAGUAUCUCCGGAUAUCUGAUGGCUUCUUAGCGGGACUUUGCGCAUUUCAGCGUAAGGAAGUUCGAGGCAAUAA
RNAcentral lists this ribosomal RNA (229 nucleotides) under uncultured eukaryote. RNAcentral's name for it is "partial 18S ribosomal RNA". It matches the Rfam family "Eukaryotic small subunit ribosomal RNA", at positions 1208 to 1456 of the family's 1831-position model. The record is from RNAcentral.